Molecule: ribosomal RNA, 305 nt
Filed under: uncultured bacterium
Lineage: Bacteria
Description: partial 16S ribosomal RNA
Rfam family: Bacterial small subunit ribosomal RNA
Source: RNAcentral
GCCUACGGGGGGCAGCAGUGGGGAAUAUUGCCCAAUGGGGGAAACCCUGAUGCAGCGACGCCGCGUGAGUGAGGAAGUAUUUCUGUAUGUAAAGCUCUAUCAGCAGGGAAUAGAAAAGAAGGUACCUGAAAAAGAAGCCCCGGCUAACUACGUGCCAGCAGCCGCGGUAAUACGUAGGGGGCAAGCGUUAUCCGGAUUUACUGGGUGUAAAGGGAGCGUAGACGGCGAUGCAAGUCUGAAGUGAAAGGCGGGGGCCCAACCCCCGGACUGCUUUGGAAACUGUAUAGCUGGAGUGCAGGAGAGGG